This 748-nucleotide long non-coding RNA is filed under the name Fragaria vesca (wild strawberry). Its description in RNAcentral is "long non-coding RNA (FVES_LNC004400)". The record is from RNAcentral. Lineage: Eukaryota; Viridiplantae; Streptophyta; Magnoliopsida; Rosales; Rosaceae.
ACCGUUACUCGGACAUCUUUACCCUUGGCCAUGAGCCUCCUUUAGUUUUUGAUUCAUUCAAUUCUUUAAAUUUACGAUCCGAAAUGAGGAAGAAGAAAGGAACAAAAAAACAGGUAACUCGAAAUCUAAUUAUGAAAGAAAGAUUUCGUUGCAAUAAAUCAAUAUAUUAAUAAGUAAGUAAUAUAAUGAUUUCUAACUAUAUUACAUUACUAGAUUUAUAAUUUUAAAUUUCCGAACAACAUUUCAUUUUUAUUUAAGUAUCUUGUAUGAUAUUGUUGCCCCAAUCAUAACAUUUCACUCUAUUUUUUAUUAAUUUUAUUUUAAUUUGAGCUCGGCCCGAGUUACUAGUUUCACCGAGGGGGAAUCCCCUUUUUGUUUUUCUAACGUAUAUUCGAAAAAAAGAAGGGAGGGGUUUAGUUACAGAUAUUUGAUUCUAUCUCUAAUCCUCUCCCCCCCCUAUAUAUCAAUAACUAGAAUUAAAAAAAGGGGAAUAUCAACGCAUCCGGAAAAAAACGAUUAGAUCUCUAUCAAUAAACCUGCUAAAGAUACCGAACCAUAGAGUACUUACUACCGGUGCCACAGAGAGAUAUUGUUUUUAGAUCUCGCAUUUUAAUUCUCCUCCUUCUUUAUUAUUUCUAAUACAUAAUGCUAAUACAUAUAUAACCAGAUGUGUAUAUGUACUUAAUGACUGACCGCUUUUAUUUGUACGCGGAAUCCCUAAUUCAAGUUGAAAUGUACAAAAUAGAUC